ACUUACCCCAGAACUCCUGUACCUGCUGAAGACAGAGUUGGCACCCAUAGUGGGCAGCCAGGUGAUGGAGUGGGAUUCCAGUCUCACCCCUUCGUUCCCAGUACCAUCUGAUCCAUCACUUAUGUAAUUACAGAUGGAGCCAAACUUCUCUCCCUUUAGUUUCUUGUCCCUCACUACAUAUGUAUAGCAAUGAUCUGAAAGCCGACCAAAUGCUGUCUUUCAAAACACCUUCUGAAUUGACACCGCAUUGGACAAUGCUAAAGAGAAGAGUUCAGUUGUUUUAAAGAGAGACAGAGACAGAAAGAGGUGACAAAGUGGGAGAUUCCAGUCAGCUUGGAUAUAGAUGCUUGGUAUCUAUAUCCCCAAGACUGAGAAGCCAUCCAGGAGAACCAUUGGCCUGAGGGAAGGAGGAAGCAGGCAAGCCCGUCAGUAACAAAGCUUGGCUAUUAGUUGGGAAGACAAGAUGACAUUUCUGAGUAUGACCUGGUAUAUUUAGGGAGCUCUACUGGGUAUUUAAGAGACAGCAUUUAUUCCUCUAGACUCAGGGAUAAUUUGCGAGAGAGCUCGCAGGUGGACUUUUCACUUAUGCACGCCUCAUUUGUCUUCCUCUUAUAAGGACUUGGUGGCUUACUGUGAGAACAGCUGAAUCUCCUCUCAAGAUAUACUCCUGGUGCACAUGAGAACAGAUGACAUAUUAAACCGUUUCACUUCUGUGGGGUUUAAGUCAUUAAUGUGUUAGAUUGUCAAGUACAAGAAUCAGAAUGUUAGACUUUCAUAGACAGUCUCCCUAAGGACCUUGUUAGAAGCCAUGUGUUUUCACAGUGUAUGUGGAUGCUUUAUAAGGACAGCUAUUAAAAGAUGACCAAUACAAAAGGUCAUCUUGGACACUGGGAAAGAGCUCUAGAAUCCAAAUAAAAAGCAUGUAUUGAGUUCCAGCUUGCAUCAUACCUGCUAUAUGAGCUUGGGCCAGCCAAUUGACUGCUCUGAGCCUCAGUGGCUCAAUUUGUUAAGUGGAGCAAAUCAAAAAGUCUAGGGGAUUAAAUGAGAUAUUUAUAUCUCAAAGUAUAAUACUCUUUCUUGACAUAAAAUGAUAAGGGGUGUGCCAUGGACUGAAUUAUGUCCCCCCAAAAUUCACAUUGAAGCCCUAACCAGCAAGGUGACUGUAUUUGGAGAUAGGGCUUUUAGGAGGUAAUUAGGUUAAAUAAGGUCAUACGGUUGGGGUCCUAAAUCUGAUAGGAUUGGUGGUCUUAGAAGAAGAGGAAGAGAGAGAGACAAGAGGGUCUCUCUCUCUCUCUCUUUCUCCACGUGCACACACCCAGGAAAGGCCA
Long non-coding RNA from Equus caballus (horse), 1328 nucleotides. RefSeq lists it as uncharacterized. Lineage: Eukaryota; Metazoa; Chordata; Mammalia; Perissodactyla; Equidae. The record is from RefSeq and is a predicted model, not a curated record.